RNAcentral lists this ribosomal RNA (551 nucleotides) under uncultured fungus. Its description in RNAcentral is "SSU rRNA". It matches the Rfam family "Eukaryotic small subunit ribosomal RNA", at positions 20 to 575 of the family's 1831-position model. The record is from RNAcentral. Lineage: Eukaryota; Fungi.
GUAGUCAUAUGCUUGUCUCAAAGAUUAAGCCAUGCAUGUCUAAGUAUAAGCAUCUAUACUGUGAAACUGCGAAUGGCUCAUUAAAUCAGUUAUCGUUUAUUUGAUAGUACCUUACUACAUGGAUACCUGUGGUAAUUCUAGAGCUAAUACAUGCUAAAAACCCCGACUUCGGGAGGGGUGUAUUUAUUAGAUAAAAAACCAAUGCCCCUCGGGGCUCCUUGGUGAAUCAUAAUAACUUAACGAAUCGCAUGGCCUUGCGCCGGCGAUGGUUCAUUCAAAUUUCUGCCCUAUCAACUUUCGAUGGUAGGAUAGUGGCCUACCAUGGUGGCAACGGGUAACGGGGAAUUAGGGUUCGAUUCCGGAGAGGGAGCCUGAGAAACGGCUACCACAUCCAAGGAAGGCAGCAGGCGCGCAAAUUACCCAAUCCCGACACGGGGAGGUAGUGACAAUAAAUACUGAUACGGGGCUCUUUUGGGUCUCGUAAUUGGAAUGAGUACAAUCUAAAUCCCUUAACGAGGAACAAUUGGAGGGCAAGUCUGGUGCCAGCAGCC